CCUAGCUCUGGCGAGCCAGGCUAAGUUAUGUCGUGCUUUCAGCACU
This is a small RNA of Lentisphaera araneosa HTCC2155, 46 nucleotides long. It matches the Rfam family "Acido-Lenti-1 RNA". The record is from Rfam. Lineage: Bacteria; Pseudomonadati; Lentisphaerota; Lentisphaeria; Lentisphaerales; Lentisphaeraceae.